GGGGCUGGGGCUCAGUGUUAGAGCGCUCGCCUCACACGUGUGGCACCCUGGGUUCGAUCCUCAGCCCCA
This 69-nucleotide transfer RNA is filed under the name Marmota monax (woodchuck). It matches the Rfam family "tRNA". From Rfam's summary of the family: Transfer RNA (tRNA) molecules are approximately 80 nucleotides in length. Their secondary structure includes four short double-helical elements and three loops (D, anti-codon, and T loops). The record is from Rfam by way of RNAcentral. Lineage: Eukaryota; Metazoa; Chordata; Mammalia; Rodentia; Sciuridae.